UUGUCCCAGCAAAGGUCGAUC
This 21-nucleotide non-coding RNA is filed under the name Arabidopsis thaliana (thale cress). Lineage: Eukaryota; Viridiplantae; Streptophyta; Magnoliopsida; Brassicales; Brassicaceae. The record is from RNAcentral.